GACCCGCUUCAUCAUGUACAAUUCCGGAAAUAAGAGUGGAUUCCUUGAUUCUAAUAAGAUGUUUGACCCGUUUGAGAUUCCACGUCACUUAUUCCAAACGGCGGCGUUUUUUCCUAACCUAAUCAACGUCACUCAACCACGCGCCCAUGCAUAAUGUCACCUUCACUGAUCUCGCCAGGGGCGACAACACCACCGGUUACAUCAUGAACUCACUGUUUCAACACGAUUCAAAACUCACAUGUCACUAACGGAAAUUUUAAGGCGGAUUGUUGUUAUCAAACGACGGAUGAUGCUGAUGACGAGUAACACGACGACAAAUGCAAUCUUCAAACAAAAAAAUAAUAAAAUAUUACUAAUUUAAAAUCACUCUUCAUUAAUUAACAUUCAAAACCAGUUUUUCAUCAUCAAAACUUCAAAAACUUUAAACCACCUAAACAUAUCACAUUCUACUUCCUGAACAGAGGCGAGGUAUAGAAGGGGCGGGAGGAGGCGUUCGACCCCCAAACUUUUCGCUCGAUAGUGUUAUAUAUGUAGUUUUCAUAUAAAUUUUUUGGGUAUAUACGUUUUCGACCCCCCCCCGGUCAUUUGGGUCAAGCUUCCCUACUACUCCUGUAAACGUUAUUCAUGGUUAUUGAGUAACAAGCGAGUGACUGACGCAUGUCGUUCAUUUACCCCUCAACGUCUACCCUUAAAGCUUGCACAACCAACCUCAAAGCUUCAACAGCGGCAGUAAUCUUUGCUUGUACGUUGUUAUCUCGGCUCUUGAAGCUUGCAGUUUUGUUCAUUGAUGUUGUGGAAGCCAUUCUCUAUGGCUUCCAACAACACCCCAUUGUCGGGAUGAGGGGGUGGUGGUUGGUGGUAAUUAGAUGUUGGGAGUUUGUUAGGUUAUUGGAUGUUGUUGUCUAGGUGACGUCCGCUUAGAUGCUUGUAAUUCUCAUGCACACGUAAACAUUGUAAUUGCAAUCUUUAUAAAAGCAUGAUGAUGAAAGCAUUCUUCUCAUUGUUAUGAGAAAAAAGUUUAUUAUUCU
Helianthus annuus (common sunflower) is the source of this 1028-nucleotide long non-coding RNA. RefSeq lists it as uncharacterized. The record is from RefSeq and is a predicted model, not a curated record. NCBI's taxonomy places the organism in Eukaryota, Viridiplantae, Streptophyta, Magnoliopsida, Asterales, Asteraceae. The transcript is spliced from 2 exons.